GGCGGCGUGGUUUAGGCAUGCAAGUCGAGCGCGAAAGUUCCUUCGGGGGGCGAGUAGAGCGGCGAAAGGGUGAGUAAUGCUUGGGCAACUUACCUCUCGGACCGGGAUAGCCUCUGGAAACGGAGGGUAAUACCGGAUGGUCUCACGAUGACUGCGGUCGACGUGAGUAAAGCGGGGGUCUUCGGACCUCGCCCCGAGAGAGAGGCCCUGGUCCUACCAGCUUGUUGGUGAGGUAAUGGCUCACCAAGGCGAAGACGGGUAGCCGGACUGAGAGGUUGGCCGGCCACACUGGCACUGAGACACUGGCCAGACUCCUACGGGAGGCUGCAGUCGAGAAUCUUCCGCAAUGGACGAAAGUCUGACGGAGCGACGCCGCGUGGAGGAAGAAGGCCUUCGGGUUGUAAACUCCUGUCAGAGUUUAAGAAUGCGUCCGGGCUAAUAUCCCGUGUCGUUGACAAAGGACUCAAAGGAAGCCACAGCUAACUUCGUGCCAGCAGCUGCGGUAAUACGAAGGUGGCGAGCGUUGUUCGGAUUCACUGGGCAUAAA
This 547-nucleotide ribosomal RNA is filed under the name uncultured bacterium. Its description in RNAcentral is "bacterial SSU rRNA". It matches the Rfam family "Bacterial small subunit ribosomal RNA", at positions 38 to 564 of the family's 1533-position model. The record is from RNAcentral.